UACGUAGGGUGCAAGCGUUAAUCGGAAUUACUGGGCGUAAAGCGUGCGCAGGUGGUUUUGUAAGUCUGUCGUGAAAGCCCCGGGCUCAACCUGGGAAUUGCGAUGGAGACUGCAAGGCUAGAAUCUGGCAGAGGGGGGUAGAAUUCCACGUGUAGCAGUGAAAUGCGUAGAGAUGUGGAGGAACACCGAUGGCGAAGGCAGCCCCCUGGGUCAAGAUUGACGCUCAUGCACGAAAGCGUGGGGAGCAAACAGG
Molecule: ribosomal RNA, 253 nt
Filed under: uncultured bacterium
Lineage: Bacteria
Description: partial 16S ribosomal RNA
Rfam family: Bacterial small subunit ribosomal RNA
Source: RNAcentral